GCUUUGGCUGUUGUAUUUGUGGUGAUCACUGCUGGAAUAGUCAUUGUUAAGGUCAUUAAUGGAAGCAUUGGGAUGCCCCGCUUACUGCCUAAACUUAUUGAUCAAGCGUCUUUCUGGAAGCUUUUCACAACUGUUCCAGUACUUGUUACUGCCUAUAUUUGCCAUCACAAUAUACAUCCAAUAGAGAAUGAGCUAAGAGAUGGCAGCCAGAUGAAGUCAAUAGUCCGUACUUCAAUUGUGU
This 241-nucleotide unclassified non-coding RNA is filed under the name Hevea brasiliensis (rubber tree). Lineage: Eukaryota; Viridiplantae; Streptophyta; Magnoliopsida; Malpighiales; Euphorbiaceae. The record is from RNAcentral.